ACUAUAGGGUUGACGUUUCUUUCCCCAGCUGAUUUCUUCUCCCCUUUUUGUUGCUUUGCUACUUCCUGUGAGACGAUUCCAUUCACAUGUUUGCUGAUUUUCUUCUUACUCAUAGCUAAUAGUGAAUUUAUUUUUACCUUUCACUUGCAAGUACCCAUCAACUGAUUAAAUUUCUCAUGUUUUGAGUACCAUGAUUUGAUGGGUAAUAGUCAAUUUACUAUUGCCUUCAAGCAUGCUUUCAAUGCAAUGAUUGUUGGAGUGCCCAUAUUUUUGUACAGUUCUUAAUUUCUUAUAGUUAGAGCUGAUUUUUUUUUUUGUUUAUUCUUUGCAUUUGCCUUCCAUUGAAAUGCAGCUGUGGUUCUUUCUCCAUUUUAGCAGGCUCAUUGAGCAAAAUAGCGUUGUUCUUUUCUUAUGAGUGUCGUUUUGAGAUUAUGACAGUGUUUAAACAUGUUGCAUGUCGAUCUAGAGGAGGGAGCUGUCUUCUCCGAUUUUUAUUUGGCGUCCUCUCAAUCAACUUGCUAAACUUCAGCUGAAAGCAUGAAGUCUCCUUUCCAAUGAAGACUGAUUCUUCCUUUUGG
RNAcentral lists this unclassified non-coding RNA (578 nucleotides) under Hevea brasiliensis (rubber tree). The record is from RNAcentral. Lineage: Eukaryota; Viridiplantae; Streptophyta; Magnoliopsida; Malpighiales; Euphorbiaceae.